CUGGGUGAUGUACAAGCACAUUAAAGCUUGAGAAGUACUGUGCUGAACAUACUGACAGUGCUCAAGCGAAAGGGACCACUGAAAUUUCAGGUGCUCACAACCCUUCAGAGGUGUGUGUGUAGAAUAAGUCUCCCUCUCCGGGGAGCAGGAAAGGCUGACUUCUGGACAGCCACAGGUUAGACAACUGAGAGACAGACUAACUGGGCACAAAGCACAAGAGAGGAAGUGACCACGAUGACUAGUGGGGGAAACAGAUGACUGGUGUGACAGCAAGGAAGAUAGGACACUGAUUCAUGGUCUUGCCACUCCAUGCUUCUGAAAGCUCUACUCCACCAGACUGCUUAUAGGAAUUCUGUGUAGAUCCAGCUCAGUAAAUGCUUCUAUGCACUUAAAUCUCUGAUCCUUCAUGAAGAGUCUCUAAGAGAAGGGCACUGUGGGAGAACAUCCCACAGGUCUAUUCCAGAUCUAAUGAAUCUGAAUCGCUGAAGGCAGAGCCCAGGGAUCACUGCUCAGGCCUUGACCCUGCUUCUGGCUUUUCCUCUUUAGUAGCUCUAAGAAGGAGUUUCUAGGGCACUGUGAAUUUAUGUCAUAAUCACCUUACUGUGAUUUAAGAAUCAUUUGCAGAGACUGUUAAGCUGCAGAUUCCUGGCCUCUUCUGCAUGUUCAAGGCCAGAAGAAAGAAGGUGUUGAGUAAAUAUCUAAACCUUUGCAUUUGUCAAGGAAUGAAGAUAAUUCAAAAGGGCUCUGCAAGAUAAAGAGGUCUACAACAGAGAUAACAGACUCAUGGCUACACUUCCUCCUUCUGUACUCCCUACCAUAUCUAGUCAUAAGCUCCUGGAACCAAGCAUCAUGCCUGUUACCAUCUUAAUGCCAUCUCCUGGUACAUCAAUCAAUGGCGAGAUGAAUACAUGAAUAAAUAAGAUACUGAC
Long non-coding RNA from Hyaena hyaena (striped hyena), 929 nucleotides. RefSeq lists it as uncharacterized. The record is from RefSeq and is a predicted model, not a curated record. The transcript is spliced from 6 exons. NCBI's taxonomy places the organism in Eukaryota, Metazoa, Chordata, Mammalia, Carnivora, Hyaenidae.